Molecule: unclassified non-coding RNA, 354 nt
Filed under: soil metagenome
Description: partial contains 5.8S ribosomal RNA, internal transcribed spacer 2, and large subunit ribosomal RNA
Rfam family: 5.8S ribosomal RNA (bases 1-120)
Source: RNAcentral
GAUGAAGAACGCAGUGAAAUGCGAUAAGUAGUGUGAAUUGCAGAAUUCAGUGAAUCAUCGAAUCUUUGAACGCACAUUGCGCCUCCUGGUAUUCCGGGAGGCAUGCCUGUUCGAGCGUCAUUAAAAUCACUCAAGCUUAGGUUUACCUAUUGCUUGGUCUUGGAGAUGGAAGCCAAUUCAUUGGAAUCCUCUUCGAAAUCCAAUGGCGAAGACCCUUGCUCUCCCAAGUGUAGUAAUAACUUAUGUCACUGAAGGAAGCGAUAAAUCUUCCGCCGUAACCCCCAUAUUUUCUAUGAUUGACCUCGGAUCAGGUAGGGAUACCCGCUGAACUUAAGCAUAUCAAUAAGCGGAGGA